RNAcentral lists this ribosomal RNA (497 nucleotides) under uncultured bacterium. RNAcentral describes it as "partial 16S ribosomal RNA". It matches the Rfam family "Bacterial small subunit ribosomal RNA", at positions 28 to 507 of the family's 1533-position model. The record is from RNAcentral.
GAUGAACGCUGGCGGCGUGCCUAAUACAUGCAAGUCGAGCGAACAGACGAGGAGCUUGCUCCUCUGACGUUAGCGGCGGACGGGUGAGUAACACGUGGAUAACCUACCUAUAAGACUGGGAUAACUUCGGGAAACCGGAGCUAAUACCGGAUAAUAUAUUGAACCGCAUGGUUCAAUAGUGAAAGACAGUUUUGCUGUCACUUAUAGAUGGAUCCGCGCCGCAUUAGCUAGUUGGUAAGGUAACGGCUUACCAAGGCAACGAUGCGUAGCCGACCUGAGAGGGUGAUCGGCCACACUGGAACUGAGACACGGUCUAGACUCCUACGGGAGGCAGCAGUAGGGAAUCUUCCGCAAUGGGCGAAAGCUUGACGGAGCAACGCCGCGUGAGUGAUGAAGGUCUUCGGAUCGUAAAACUCUGUUAUUAGGGAAGAACAAAUGUGUAAGUAACUAUGCACGUCUUGACGGUACCUAAUCAGAAAGCCACGGCUAACUACGUG